RNAcentral lists this ribosomal RNA (253 nucleotides) under uncultured bacterium. RNAcentral's name for it is "partial 16S ribosomal RNA". It matches the Rfam family "Bacterial small subunit ribosomal RNA", at positions 524 to 776 of the family's 1533-position model. The record is from RNAcentral.
UACGUAGGGUGCGAGCGUUAAUCGGAAUUACUGGGCGUAAAGCGUGCGCAGGCGGUUUUGUAAGCCAGGUGUGAAAUCCCCGGGCUUAACCUGGGAAUGGCAUUUGGGACUGCAAGGCUUGAGUGCGGCAGAGGAGACUGGAAUUCCUGGUGUAGCAGUGAAAUGCGUAGAUAUGUGGAGGAACACCGAUGGCGAAGGCAGCCCCCUGGGUUAACACUGACGCUCAUGCACGAAAGCGUGGGGAGCAAACAGG